GGACGCCCGCAGCAGGAGCGACCAGGGCGACGUCACAACGAGCGGAGCGGCGCAUGGACGGAGGCGUCUCCAUCGCGGGGUUCCAUGCUCCAUGUUGUCGUCCCACCAGGAUCAUCAGCCUUCUUGCGGUCUGCUCCUCAGUUGCGUUCACCUGCAAGGGACAUCUCUUUUUUCUUCAGUGUGCAGGGCCGAUUGCCAUUGGUGUUCCUCCUGUUAUCAGGAGGUUGUGGCUGCAUCUGGAUUGU
This is a non-coding RNA of Lolium perenne, 245 nucleotides long. The record is from RefSeq and is a predicted model, not a curated record. NCBI's taxonomy places the organism in Eukaryota, Viridiplantae, Streptophyta, Magnoliopsida, Poales, Poaceae.